ACUAAUCUCUCUACAGCGGUAGAGCGUAAGACUCUUAGAGAAAAUCUUAAGGCUGCGGGUUCGAGCCCCGCAUUGGGC
Thozetella sp. PMI_491 is the source of this 78-nucleotide non-coding RNA. The record is from the annotation of a GenBank genome assembly. NCBI's taxonomy places the organism in Eukaryota, Fungi, Ascomycota, Sordariomycetes, Chaetosphaeriales, Chaetosphaeriaceae.